AGCAGCCGCGGUAAUUCCAGCUCCAAUAGCGUAUAUUAAAGUUGUUGCAGUUAAAAGCUCGUAGUUGAAUUUCGGGAUCAAUAUGUUGGUCGUGCCUUGGUACGUACUGGCAUUAUCGAUUCCUACCUUCUGAAGAACCUCGAUGUCAUUAAUUUGGUGUCUUGGGGAAUCAGGACUGUUACUUUGAAAAAUUGAGCGUUUAAGGCAGGCUCGCGCUUGAAUACAUUAGCAUGGAAUAAUGAAAUAGGACGUUUUGAUUCUAUUUUGUUGGUUUCUAGGAUCGACGUAAUGAUUAAUAGGGAUAGUUGGGGGCAUUAGUAUUCAAUUGUCAGAGGUGAAAUUCUUGGAUUUAUUGAAGACUAACUACUGCGAAAGCAUUUGCCAAGGAUGUUUUCAUUAAUCAAGAACGAAAGUUAGGGAUCGAAGACGAUCAGAUACGUCGUAGUCUUAACCAUAAACUAUGCCGACUAGGGAUCGGAUGAUGUUAAUUUUUAAUGACUCAUUCC
This 506-nucleotide unclassified non-coding RNA is filed under the name uncultured Glomus. Its description in RNAcentral is "SSU rRNA". It matches the Rfam family "Eukaryotic small subunit ribosomal RNA", at positions 569 to 1082 of the family's 1831-position model. The record is from RNAcentral. Lineage: Eukaryota; Fungi; Glomeromycota; Glomeromycetes; Glomerales; Glomeraceae.